GGCUCCGUAGCUCAAUGGAUAGAGCAAUUGCCUUCUAAGCAAUAGGUUGAUGGUUCGAUCCCAUCCGGAGUCA
This 73-nucleotide transfer RNA is filed under the name Bacteroidales bacterium. RNAcentral's name for it is "tRNA-Arg". It matches the Rfam family "tRNA". From Rfam's summary of the family: Transfer RNA (tRNA) molecules are approximately 80 nucleotides in length. Their secondary structure includes four short double-helical elements and three loops (D, anti-codon, and T loops). The record is from RNAcentral. Lineage: Bacteria; Pseudomonadati; Bacteroidota; Bacteroidia; Bacteroidales.